Molecule: transfer RNA, 75 nt
Filed under: Hyphessobrycon amandae (ember tetra)
Lineage: Eukaryota; Metazoa; Chordata; Actinopteri; Characiformes; Acestrorhamphidae
Description: tRNA-Lys
Source: RNAcentral
UCCAGGGAAGCUGUGAGGGGUUCAGCGUUAGCCUUUUAAGCUAAAAGUUGGUGGCUCCCAAACCACCCCUUGUGA